UGCUGCUGGCUGUGGCACUGCUAGCCUUGCAGCUGGCGGUGGCACUGGCACUGGCAGUCUCCAGUCCAGUCUCAGUCUUUAGUCUGACAGCGACUGGAGAAUGACGUGCGUGUUGCUGGUCUGCAGCCGUGACAGGCGAAUAUCGAGGACCAUCACACAUUUUAAGUCGUCGAAGAGGGCGCAACAGUGCGGUUCCAGUGCGCAAUCGCCGGCCACCCGACGCCCUGGGUGACCUGGGACAAGGACGGCCUGAUCCUGACGCCGUCGCGCAGACUGACCAUCAAGGAGAAAGACGAUCUGCGCAUCGUCGAAAUCAGCGAGGUGACCGUGGAGGACGCCGGCCUCUACAGAGCCACCCUGGAGAACGACGUCGGCCGCAUCGAGGCUAGCGCCAGGCUGGACGUCAUCGAUGCUGAACGCUGAGGAGACGGAUGAUGCUUAGCUCGAGUUCGACGUUGAGGAUUGCGUGUUUUCGCGCGAUUGUCUAUCCCCAACGUCGUCCGUGUCUUCGACAUCGUCGGCCAACUGCUCGGAGCACUGGGCUGCAUCUUUGGCGCUUGCGGCCGUGACGUUGGCCUUUUUGGCAGUGCUGCCGUCCAAUUCUCAUCCGCUGGGGCGAUUGUCGGCAACCCCUUCAGCAGCGGGAACGACGGGAACGUGCAUCCUUCGCGCGAUCUCAUCCUCAAUAGCCUUCGGCAGCACGUGCAACGCGUCAAUGUUAAGCUGGUUUCCAGCCUGGCUGACGCCGUGAAGAAGACGGAGCCGCCCAGCAUCCAGGUUACGCCCCGCCACCAGGGUCCCAUCCAGAAAGUCAGACGCGAUUGAGUCUCUGUCCAAGAGCGUGAAGCAGUUUGCAAACAAAGCUCUAAACUGUGGUGACGUGGAGAGCAAGUUGGCCGUUCCCGAACCGACGCUAAGCCUAGCUAAAAAGCUGGCCAAGCCUUCGGUCGCCGAGAGGAACUCGUUCGGUGACUCCUCGCUGGCUGACUUCACUCUAUAUAGUCAGACCAGCGUUGGCGUUGGCUCCUUGACCGCGUCUCCUUGUCCUCGCUCGAGAAACAGACCGCCGAGCUGACCAAUGCCAAGUCAGCCGCUUUCACAAGUCACUGUCAGACUCGCAGGCAUUGCACUGGCAGAUGCUGGAGGAUGCGUGCUCUGUUGGCCUGCGGUCGUAAUUUAGUUGCCCGGGACGGGACCCGGCCAGCGACCAUUAGGUGACUGUCGAGGACCA
Long non-coding RNA from Cloeon dipterum, 1231 nucleotides. RefSeq lists it as uncharacterized. The transcript is spliced from 5 exons. The record is from RefSeq and is a predicted model, not a curated record. Lineage: Eukaryota; Metazoa; Arthropoda; Insecta; Ephemeroptera; Baetidae.